This 440-nucleotide ribosomal RNA is filed under the name uncultured bacterium. Its description in RNAcentral is "partial 16S ribosomal RNA". It matches the Rfam family "Bacterial small subunit ribosomal RNA", at positions 338 to 795 of the family's 1533-position model. The record is from RNAcentral.
CCUACGGGUGGCAGCAGUGAGGAAUAUUGGGCAAUGGGGGCAACCCUGACCCAGCCAUGCCGCGUGAGUGAAGAAGGUCUUCGGGUUGUAAAGCUCUUUCGGCCGUGACGAUGAUUGCGGUAGCGUCUCACGAAUCACCGGCAAACUUCGUCACAGCAGCCGCGGUCAUACGAAGGGUGCGAGCGGUGUUCGGAAUUACUGGGCGGAAAGGGAGUGUAGGCGGAGAUGGAAGAUAGCGGUGAAAUGCCGGGGCUCAACCCCGGAACUGCCAUUAUGACUAUGUAUCUAGAGUAAUGGAGAGGAUAGCGGAAUACCCAGUGUAGAGGUGAAAUUCGUAGAUAUUGGGUAGAACACCGGUGGCGAAGGCGGCUAGCUGGACAUUUACUGACGCUGAGGCUCGAAAGCAUGGGGAUCAAACAGGAUUAGAUACCCCAGUAGUC